AUCGGCCAGCCGCUCAAUCCCGGCGUGCUCGGGAACCGGGGAACCAUCCACGUGGAGCGAUCCACGUACGGGGUGAAUCCGCCGCAGGUACGGUGGUAGGGCGUCUCCUGGCCCGAAUCCGUCAGCUAACCCGGUAGGCGGUCAAGGAGAAGGGUC
RNAcentral lists this small RNA (156 nucleotides) under Nonomuraea sp. RNAcentral describes it as "c-di-AMP sequence". It matches the Rfam family "c-di-AMP riboswitch aptamer (ydaO/yuaA leader)". Rfam says of the family: This family represents a conserved RNA structure found upstream of the ydaO and yuaA genes in Bacillus subtilis and related genes in other bacteria. The record is from RNAcentral. Lineage: Bacteria; Bacillati; Actinomycetota; Actinomycetes; Streptosporangiales; Streptosporangiaceae.